CCAUUGAUGCUGAACUGGUGACCAUCAGUAGUACAGCGCAACAUAAUUGCGUUCUUGAUGUGAUCAGAGCCGCUAAUGCCAAUGCCAUCGUAGACACCUGGAUAGAACACUCCAACCAGGGCUGUCUAGGUUCAACAGUGUGUCAGUACAUUGAUGACCCUGCUGGAGCGUGCAGCACCGCCUUCGACUGCAAUGUCAACAAGCCAUAUGUUUGCAUGAACAUGUAAACGUCAACAGCGGCCCUUAAUCAUACAAGGCAUGAGCAAACUGACUCUGCAUGCCAUAAAUUGGCCAAUAAGCUUUUUAAUCUGUCCCAAAUUUGCUUCUUUACUGCUAUUGAAUAAAUUAUUUCUGAAGCUAGAGAGUGGAGGGUGGGGUCUGCAGAUCAGCGCUAAGACAGAGAAACAAGAUUCCUACGACUAGGUUCUGUAAAAAAAUUACUUUUUAUAGGACAUUUGUGUGUUUGUUUUCUUGUUUGGCUGUGUUGUUUGUCACAUUUUUGCUCGAUGAUAAACAAGUCAAGGAGGUUGUCGUUGGUGCGUUCACAUACUCUUGAUGUUCAAUGUUUGAUUGUUCAUCUACACUCUGGGUGUUUUAAUCAAUAAAAAUCUGCAAAUUA
This is a long non-coding RNA of Nerophis lumbriciformis (worm pipefish), 619 nucleotides long. RefSeq lists it as uncharacterized. The record is from RefSeq and is a predicted model, not a curated record. Lineage: Eukaryota; Metazoa; Chordata; Actinopteri; Syngnathiformes; Syngnathidae.